RNAcentral lists this ribosomal RNA (247 nucleotides) under uncultured Propionivibrio sp. RNAcentral's name for it is "partial 16S ribosomal RNA". It matches the Rfam family "Bacterial small subunit ribosomal RNA", at positions 527 to 773 of the family's 1533-position model. Lineage: Bacteria; Pseudomonadati; Pseudomonadota; Betaproteobacteria; Rhodocyclales; Rhodocyclaceae. The record is from RNAcentral.
GUAGGGUGCGAGCGUUAAUCGGAAUUACUGGGCGUAAAGCGUGCGCAGGCGGUUGUAUAAGUCAGAUGUGAAAUCCCCGGGCUCAACCUGGGAACUGCAUUUGAGACUGUACGGCUAGAGUUUGGCAGAGGGGGGUGGAAUUCCACGUGUAGCAGUGAAAUGCGUAGAGAUGUGGAGGAACACCGAUGGCGAAGGCAGCCCCCUGGGCCAAUACUGACGCUCAUGCACGAAAGCGUGGGGAGCAAAC